UUCAUUCGUACACAAGAGGGACCUUGGUCAUGGAACAUGGCAAGGGAAAGUGUGUGUCAUCGAUGAAGAAGGGAGACACGAGACACCAUAUCAAGGGAUAACACCACUAUAACCGAGGGAGAUGCAACCGGUAAAGAAGGUGGAGAUCCCAUCAUGACAGUUCUGAUGGAGAUUCACACUGUGAGUAUAUUUGAUCACGGAAGGGUGUUGUUUAUGCAUAUGAUAUCAGGUUAUUCUGAAUGAAAUUAAGGUCAUCAACAGCAUUCUCGAAACUCAGAUUGAGCAGAUUAAAGAACUUACUCAGAUGGUGGCUACUCAAACGAGGGUCCUGGAGGAAAUGAUGAAAACUGUAAACUCUACUCGCGUUGAGGCACAGGAGCAGAAUGUUACUAUGACAAC
This is a long non-coding RNA of Arachis stenosperma, 399 nucleotides long. RefSeq lists it as uncharacterized. The transcript has 3 exons. The record is from RefSeq and is a predicted model, not a curated record. Lineage: Eukaryota; Viridiplantae; Streptophyta; Magnoliopsida; Fabales; Fabaceae.